ACGUAGGCAGCAAGCGUUGUUCGGAGUUACUGGGCGUAAAGAGUGCGUAGGCGGUUCUCUAAGUUUGGUGUGAAAUCUCCCGGCUCAACUGGGAGGGGGCGCCGAAAACUGGAGGGCUUGAGUGUGGGAGAGGCAAGCGGAAUUCCUGGUGUAGCGGUGAAAUGCGUAGAUAUCUGGAGGAACACCGGCGGCGAAGGCGGCAUCCUGGACCGGUAUUGACGCUGAGGCGCGAAAGCCAGGGGAGCAAACGGGA
Molecule: ribosomal RNA, 253 nt
Filed under: uncultured prokaryote
Description: partial 16S ribosomal RNA
Rfam family: Bacterial small subunit ribosomal RNA
Source: RNAcentral